UACAGAGGGUGCGAGCGUUGUCCGGAAUCACUGGGCGUAAAGGGCGCGUAGGUGGCGCUGCAAGUCGGUGGUGAAAGCUCGAUGCUUAACAUCGAGUCGGCCAUCGAAACUGCAGGGCUCGAGCACUGUAGGGGCAGAUGGAAUUCCGGGUGUAGCGGUGGAAUGCGUAGAGAUCCGGAAGAACACCGGUGGCGAAGGCGGUCUGCUGGGCAGUUGCUGACACUGAGGCGCGACAGCGUGGGGAGCAAACGGG
Molecule: ribosomal RNA, 253 nt
Filed under: uncultured bacterium
Lineage: Bacteria
Description: partial 16S ribosomal RNA
Rfam family: Bacterial small subunit ribosomal RNA
Source: RNAcentral